This 468-nucleotide ribosomal RNA is filed under the name uncultured bacterium. RNAcentral's name for it is "partial 16S ribosomal RNA". It matches the Rfam family "Bacterial small subunit ribosomal RNA", at positions 28 to 507 of the family's 1533-position model. The record is from RNAcentral.
GACGAACGCUGGCGGCGUGCUUAACACAUGCAAGUCGAACGGAAAGGCCCGGCGCUUGUGGGGUGCACGAUUGGCGAGCGGGUGAGUAACACGUGAGUAACCUGCACUUGACUGAGGGAUAACAUCAGGAGACAGGGGCGAAAACCGGAUAGAAGCUACUGCUGCAUGGUGGUGGUUGGAAAGUUUCGGCGGUGCGGGCUGGUCUCGCUGGUUACGCGCUUGUUGGUGUGGUAGUGGCUGACCAAGGCUUUGACGGGUAGCCGGCCUGAGAGCUUGACCGGCGACAUUGGGACUGCGAUACGGCCCAGACUCCUACGGGAGGCAGCAGUGGGGAAUAUUGCACAAUGGGCGGAAGCCUGAUGCAGCAACGCCGCGUGCGGGAUGACGGCCUUCGGGUUGUAAACCGAUUUCGCCUGUGACGAAGCGUGAGUGACGGUAAUGGGUAAAGAAGCAACGGCUAACUACGUG